ACAAAGACAAUCGGAAUCUGAUUUUCAUCUGGUUGGGGAACAGAAAAUGUGUCUGCUUUCCAAACCAAUGACUCAGCUCCUCUAUAUGUAUUACUAUGAUACUUAUUGCCCUUUGUUGUUAUUUCAAUAGCUCCACAAUUUUUGCUAUAUCGAAUGAAAUGACGCUUUCGAUUACUCCGUCUCUGAUCCACAUUCCGGAUUUUGUACACUA
This 211-nucleotide long non-coding RNA is filed under the name Mytilus galloprovincialis (Mediterranean mussel). The record is from RNAcentral. Lineage: Eukaryota; Metazoa; Mollusca; Bivalvia; Mytilida; Mytilidae.